GAUGAACGCUGGCGGCGUGCCUAACACAUGCAAGUCGAGCGAAGCACUUUGCUUAGAUUCUUCGGAUGAAGAGGAUUGUGACUGAGCGGCGGACGGGUGAGUAACGCGUGGGUAACCUGCCUCAUACAGGGGGAUAACAGUUAGACAUGACUGCUAAUACCGCAUAAGACCACAGCACCGCAUGGUGCGGGGGUAAAAACUCCGGUGGUAUGAGAUGGACCCGCGUCUGAUUAGCUAGUUGGUAAGGUAACGGCUUACCAAGGCGACGAUCAGUAGCCGACCUGAGAGGGUGACCGGCCACAUUGGGACUGAGACACGGCCCAAACUCCUACGGGAGGCAGCAGUGGGGAAUAUUGCACAAUGGGGGAAACCCUGAUGCAGCGACGCCGCGUGAGCGAAGAAGUAUUUCGGUAUGUAAAGCUCUAUCAGCAGGGAAGAAAAUGACGGUACCUGACUAAGAAGCACCGGCUAAAUACGUGCCAGCAGCCGCGGUAAUACGUAUGGUGCAAGCGUUAUCCGGAUUUACUGGGUGUAAAGGGAGCGUAGACGGAUACGCAGUCUGAUGUGAAGCCCGGGGCCCACCCCGGGACUGCGGGAAAACUGUCCAUCAGGUUCUGGAGAGGUGAUGGAAUUCCGAGCUUCCGGAUUAAUCGGCACUUCCCGAGGUACACCGUGGAGGA
RNAcentral lists this ribosomal RNA (680 nucleotides) under uncultured Ruminococcus sp. RNAcentral's name for it is "bacterial SSU rRNA". It matches the Rfam family "Bacterial small subunit ribosomal RNA", at positions 28 to 718 of the family's 1533-position model. Lineage: Bacteria; Bacillati; Bacillota; Clostridia; Eubacteriales; Oscillospiraceae. The record is from RNAcentral.